RNAcentral lists this ribosomal RNA (52 nucleotides) under Amauroderma sprucei. RNAcentral's name for it is "partial 28S ribosomal RNA". Lineage: Eukaryota; Fungi; Basidiomycota; Agaricomycetes; Polyporales; Polyporaceae. The record is from RNAcentral.
GACAUCUGACCUCAAAUCAGGUAGGACUACCCGCUGAACUUAAGCAUAUCAA